GAGGAGGAAGGAGAGGAAGAGGAAGAGGAGGAGGGGUGCAGAUGCGUGGUGGUGGAGUAGGGGGAAGAGGGCGAGGAGUGCGUAGGCAUCACACUGUCCCCGAUGAAAUUCGAGCCACCAUUAUUGACCAUGUAGUCAAUCAUGGCCUAACCAUGGCAGAGGCAGGGUGCCGAGUGCAGCCUAACGUGCCACGCUCUACAGUCUCCUCCAUCAUACAACCCUUUCGCAGGGAAAACAGAAUUGGGCGACAGCCUCCUUUGGGCGGUAGAAGGAGAUUGCUCACAGAUCCCCAGGAACAAGCCAUCUGCAACAUGGUUAUACAAAACAAUGCCAUCACACUCACACAGAUCCGCAAUGCAGUCCUUCAAGACGAAUCCAUCUUCCACAAUAUCAACUCCAUUAGCAUCUCAACCAUAGACCGGGUACUGAAGUGAAAUCAUAUGACCAUGAAACAAAUAUACAGGGUACCAUUCGACAGGAACACAGAGAGGGUGAAAGAACUGCGGUACCAGUAUGUGCAGAGAAUAAUUGCAUUGGAGGGGAUUGAAACACCUCAUCUCCUGGUGUUUGUAGAUGAGGCUGGUUUCAAUC
This is a long non-coding RNA of Neoarius graeffei (lesser salmon catfish), 591 nucleotides long. RefSeq lists it as uncharacterized. The transcript has 3 exons. NCBI's taxonomy places the organism in Eukaryota, Metazoa, Chordata, Actinopteri, Siluriformes, Ariidae. The record is from RefSeq and is a predicted model, not a curated record.